This is a non-coding RNA of Caerostris extrusa, 118 nucleotides long. Lineage: Eukaryota; Metazoa; Arthropoda; Arachnida; Araneae; Araneidae. The record is from the annotation of a GenBank genome assembly.
GCGGGGAUGCCAUGCUAAUAAUAUCGGUUCUCGUUAGAUCACCGAAGUCAAGGAUCACGUGACUUGGGCGUAGGUCAGUACUUGGGUGGGUGACCAUCUGGGAACACCGCGUGCCGUU